AUGCCAAACAAGUGUCAUUAUCCCAGUGGAAACAUUUGGGGAAAAGGCUUGAAUCUGUUACUGAAACAGAUUAAAACUCAGAUUAGAGCUCAAACAAUAUGUUAUUCAAAAACAGCCAGAAAACAUUUCAGAUUUCUACAUUGUCACCAAGUUGAACUCAGCAAAUACAAAAUGAGUGGUACCAUCUCUCCGGCUGGACCUCCCCAACUCUUAAAGAACAGUUUUCAUCACGCGGUGUGAACCUCCCAAGCCACGGCUGCUUUCUCUCUCCUCAUAGGAACAGGAGCUUUAAAGAGCAAGACAUUCCGAAGUAGGAAUGCCAAAAUCUGCUAUGAGGCAAAAGCUUAGAGGUGGCUGGAAAUGAGCUGUCGUUCUGCAGCGUGAUCCACAGCAGAGCUGGAACCAGGUAAAGCCACAUGUGUCUAAAUGCAGCCCUUGCAUGCAAAAUGAUAGAUCAAGUUUUUUAGCCACUGAUUGUGUCCAUCUCACCCGUUCAGGUGAUCAGGACUAGAUGGCCUCUACUGCUUCAAUUAUGUUGGCCGUUAAUGACAAUACUUCUCACAAGCAAGCUGGGCUGCUGUGCCUGAUACUCCUAUAGCUCUCACCACGUGUGGCUGCUGCCACUUCAGCUGUGGCCUCCAGGUAAGAAUUUAGCAUUUUGCACAGCUCUGGACUCCUGGAAAUGCCUGAAUACAGAGAGACCAGGAGCGAGCUGCCUCUCCGGCUGAUUUGCCUCUCCAGGCAAAUUUGGUGAAGAGAGCUCAGCCCUGACUCAGGGUAUUCCUCAGGGCUAAAAGAACAAAUCUAAAUGUACUUACAGCAUGCUUUUCCACUCUCGAAAAACUGGUUCCACCUGUGGGUGCUGAGCCUGUAACAGCCUCCAGACAAUCUGUCCCCCUUGGCUGGAAGUCAGGGACCUUAAGAGAGCAGAGAGGGGAAAUCUGCAGACUUAGGAAGAGAGAUCCGUGUUCUUCCCAAGGACCUCGG
This 987-nucleotide long non-coding RNA is filed under the name Calidris pugnax (ruff). Its description in RNAcentral is "lncRNA (ENSCPUG00000000611.1)". Lineage: Eukaryota; Metazoa; Chordata; Aves; Charadriiformes; Scolopacidae. The record is from RNAcentral.